UAAAACAAUCCUAGCGCACGCGCGUGUUGAUGCAGGCGUGCGUAGCGAUGUUUUUGGGCUUGAGAAGAACUGGGUUGCUUCCUCUUGCAGGGGCCACAAAACCUUGUUUUUUUUUCCUCUAUAGGCCGCAGGCCUGCUUUUUUUUUUUUGUCUGUUCUGGGCCGCAGAGGCCUGCUUUUUUAUUUUGGGCCGGGUCUUUACUUUGGCCCGGGUCACGUUUUUUUUCUCUUGUUUUUUUUUUUUUUUUUUUUUUUGUUGGGCCGGGUAAACCCAUCUUUUUCUUCCUUCUUUUCUCUUUUCUUCUUUUUCUUUUCGCUCUGUUUUUUUUCCGCGUCCUCUUUCCUCUCCUUCUUCUUUCUCCGCCUGUUCUUCUUUUCUGGUUUUCUGGGUUACAGAAAUUGCAGAUUGGCUAGCUGGCGAAAGAUGAGGCCGGCUGUGGGGCUUCGUGGCCGGGAAGGAUGAGGCCGGCUGUGGGAUGGAGUGGGAAGACCGCCGGAUCGAGAUGGAGGCCGGUCUGGACGGGACUGUGUUGCGCAGCUCGCGGCCUGGUGAGCUGGGAUCGGUCGGCGGCUGGGAUUGGGCAGCAGCUAGGCGGGAUCGGUGUGGGAUCUGCGCAGCGCUGGGUUGCUUGGCUCGGUGUGGGAUCUGCUCAGGCGGGUUGUGAGGCCGGAGAGGCAGAGGUGAGGGGCUGCGCUGGGCAGGGCUGACCGGCGAGGUGAGGCCGGUGAGGUAGACGGGGAAUUUUUUUUUUUUGGUUGUUGGUGGCGGCAGAAAAAGAAGAAAAUAUUUUUUUUUUUAGGGUUUUUUGUUCGACAGAAAGAAAUUAGAAAAUUGGGAUUUUUUUUCUUGGCUAUUGACUCUGAGCGUGCUGAUAACGUGUAAAAGUAAAAUGCAAUUGAAAUUGGUCUACUCAUUUCAUUUCAUAGUCCCUUUAUAUAGGGAUAGAAUUACAACGGAAAUAUCGAUUACAUUAAUAAUACUAAAUGCUGAUUGAUCCGUAAUUGUGCUAA
Long non-coding RNA from Rosa rugosa (rugosa rose), 1010 nucleotides. RefSeq lists it as uncharacterized. The transcript has 2 exons. The record is from RefSeq and is a predicted model, not a curated record. Lineage: Eukaryota; Viridiplantae; Streptophyta; Magnoliopsida; Rosales; Rosaceae.